RNAcentral lists this non-coding RNA (517 nucleotides) under uncultured Glomus. Its description in RNAcentral is "SSU rRNA". It matches the Rfam family "Eukaryotic small subunit ribosomal RNA", at positions 574 to 1092 of the family's 1831-position model. RNAcentral also lists the same sequence under 1 other name. The record is from RNAcentral. Lineage: Eukaryota; Fungi; Glomeromycota; Glomeromycetes; Glomerales; Glomeraceae.
CCGCGGUAAUUCCAGCUCCAAUAGCGUAUAUUAAAGUUGUUGCAGUUAAAAAGCUCGUAGUUGAAUUUCGGGGUUAGUAGGUUGGUCAUGCCUCUGGUAUGUACUGGUCUCACUGAUUCCUCCUUCCUGAUGAACCUUAAUGCCAUUAAUUUGGUGUUUUGGGGAAUUUGGACUGUUACUUUGAAAAAAUUAGAGUGUUUAAAGCAAGCUAACGCUUGAAUACAUUAGCAUGGAAUAAUGAAAUAGGACGUUCGAUCCUAUUUUGUUGGUUUCUAGGAUUGACGUAAUGAUUAAUAGGGAUAGUUGGGGGCAUUAGUAUUCAAUUGUCAGAGGUGAAAUUCUUGGAUUUAUUGAAGACUAACUACUGCGAAAGCAUUUGCCAAGGAUGUUUUCAUUAAUCAAGAACGAAAGUUAGGGGAUCGAAGACGAUCAGAUACCGUCGUAGUCUUAACCAUAAACUAUGCCGACUAGGGAUCGGAUGAUGUUAAUUUUUUAAUGACUCAUUCGGCGCCUUACG